GGGACACGUGGUAUCCUGUCUGAAUAUGGGGGGACCAUCCUCCAAGGCUAAAUACUCCUGACUGACCGAUAGUGAACCAGUACCGUGAGGGAAAGGCGAAAAGAACCCCGGCGAGGGGAGUGAAAAAGAACCUGAAACCGUGUACGUACAAGCAGUGGGAGCACGCUUAGGCGUGUGACUGCGUACCUUUUGUAUAAUGGGUCAGCGACUUAUAUUCUGUAGCAAGGUUAACCGAAUAGGGGAGCCGAAGGGAAACCGAGUCUUAACUGGGCGUUAAGUUGCAGGGUAUAGACCCGAAACCCGGUGAUCUAGCCAUGGGCAGGUUGAAGGUUGGGUAACACUAACUGGAGGACCGAACCGACUAAUGUUGAAAAAUUAGCGGAUGACUUGUGGCUGGGGGUGAAAGGCCAAUCAAACCGGGAGAUAGCUGGUUCUCCCCGAAAGCUAUUUAGGUAGCGCCUCGUGAAUUCAUCUCCGGGGGUAGAGCACUGUUUCGGCAAGGGGGUCAUCCCGACUUACCAACCCGAUGCAAACUGCGAAUACCGGAGAAUGUUAUCACGGGAGACACACGGCGGGUGCUAACGUCCGUCGUGAAGAGGGAAACAACCCAGACCGCCAGCUAAGGUCCCAAAGUCAUGGUUAAGUGGGAAACGAUGUGGGAAGGCCCAGACAGCCAGGAUGUUGGCUUAGAAGCAGCCAUCAUUUAAAGAAAGCGUAAUAGCUCACUGGUCGAGUCGGCCUGCGCGGAAGAUGUAACGGGGCUAAACCAUGCACCGAAGCUGCGGCAGCGACGCUGAUGCGUUGUUGGGUAGGGGAGCGUUCUGUAAGCCUGCGAAGGUGUGCUGUGAGGCAUGCUGGAGGUAUCAGAAGUGCGAAUGCUGACAUAAGUAACGAUAAAGCGGGUGAAAAGCCCGCUCGCCGGAAGACCAAGGGUUCCUGUCCAACGUUAAUCGGGGCAGGGUGAGUCGACCCCUAAGGCGAGGCCGAAAGGCGUAGUCGAUGGGAAACAGGUUAAUAUUCCUGUACUUGGUGUUACUGCGAAGGGGGGACGGAGAAGGCUAUGUUGGCCGGGCGACGGUUGUCCCGGUUUAAGCGUGUAGGCUGGUUUUCCAGGCAAAUCCGGAAAAUCAAGGCUGAGGCGUGAUGACGAGGCACUACGGUGCUGAAGCAACAAAUGCCCUGCUUCCAGGAAAAGCCUCUAAGCAUCAGGUAACAUCAAAUCGUACCCCAAACCGACACAGGUGGUCAGGUAGAGAAUACCAAGGCGCUUGAGAGAACUCGGGUGAAGGAACUAGGCAAAAUGGUGCCGUAACUUCGGGAGAAGGCACGCUGAUAU
Molecule: ribosomal RNA, 1336 nt
Filed under: Escherichia coli
Lineage: Bacteria; Pseudomonadati; Pseudomonadota; Gammaproteobacteria; Enterobacterales; Enterobacteriaceae
Description: partial 23S ribosomal RNA
Rfam family: Bacterial large subunit ribosomal RNA
Source: RNAcentral